GAACGAACGCUGGCGGCGUGCCUAAAACAUGCAAGUCGCACGAGAAAGUAUUUAUACGAGUAAAGUGGCGCACGGGUGAGUAACACGUGGAUAACAUACCUUCGAGACUGGUAUAACAGUUGGAAACGACUGAUAAUCCCAGAUAAAGUUUAGAAUACAUUGGGGUAUUUUGAAUGAAAGCGGGCCUUCGGGUGUCGGCUUGAAGAGUGGUCUGCGUCCCAUUAGCUAGUUGGUGAGGUAAAGGCUCAUCCAAGGCAUUGAUGGGUAGCUGGUCUGAGAGGACGAUCAGCCACACUGGGACUGAAACACGGCCCAGACUCCUACGGGAGGCAGCAGUUAGGAAUAUUGCGCAAUGGAGGGAACUCUGACGCAGCGACGCCGCGUGAGCGAAGAAGGCCUUAGGGUUGUAAAGCUCUGUUGAAAGGGAAGAAUGCUGACGGAUGAAUAAUUUGGUUAGUUGACGGUACCUUUUAAGAAAGCACCGGCUAACUCUGUG
RNAcentral lists this ribosomal RNA (496 nucleotides) under uncultured bacterium. Its description in RNAcentral is "bacterial SSU rRNA". It matches the Rfam family "Bacterial small subunit ribosomal RNA", at positions 27 to 507 of the family's 1533-position model. The record is from RNAcentral.